This 253-nucleotide ribosomal RNA is filed under the name uncultured bacterium. RNAcentral describes it as "partial 16S ribosomal RNA". It matches the Rfam family "Bacterial small subunit ribosomal RNA", at positions 524 to 776 of the family's 1533-position model. The record is from RNAcentral.
UACGAAGGGGACUAGCGUUGUUCGGAAUCACUGGGCGUAAAGCGCACGUAGGCGGAUGUGUCAGUCAGGGGUGAAAUCCCGGGGCUCAACCUCGGAACUGCCUUUGAUACAGCACGUCUCGAGUCCGGAAGAGGUGGGUGGAAUUCCUAGUGUAGAGGUGAAAUUCGUAGAUAUUAGGAAGAACACCGGUGGCGAAGGCGGCCCACUGGUCCGGUACUGACGCUGAGGUGCGAAAGCGUGGGGAGCAAACAGG